RNAcentral lists this unclassified non-coding RNA (661 nucleotides) under Hevea brasiliensis (rubber tree). The record is from RNAcentral. Lineage: Eukaryota; Viridiplantae; Streptophyta; Magnoliopsida; Malpighiales; Euphorbiaceae.
UUUUUUUCACCGAACAAAUCCAUUUAAUUAUAGGAAGUUCAUAAAAAAAUCUCAUCUAUCAAAACAUAUGAUUCAAGGAUUAUACCAAUGUAAAAGACGAUUAAAUGCCCAGUUAAAAGCUCUCAAUCAGGAAGAAAGGGAUACUUAUGGUGAUAUAACCAAAUCAACUCUUUAAUCGAACAGACUGAAGCCCAUGUCCUCAUCUGACUCCUCUUUCUCCUCCAUCUUUUCUUCCUUCUUUGCCUCAGCUGCAGCAGGAGCAGCGGCAGCACCACCACCGCUACCAGGUGCAGCAGCGGCAACAGCAACACCACAGCCGGAAGGCACUGAUGCCAACUGCUCCCGACCAGCAGCAAUAAGUUCUGUUAUAUCCUUACCAUCAACUUCAGAAAGAAGAAAUUUAAUCCUAUCAUCAUCAGUAUAAGCUCCAACAGAAAUGAGGAUAUCUUUGAUAUGCUCAGCGGAGGGGGAGGUGUUGCCUCCCAACACGGCCAGUAAAUAUGCAGCCACCACCUUCAUCUCUGCAGUGGAAGCUCUGGAUCUGCAGCGGUGGGAGGAGAGUUAAACAUUAAAUUGUAGCAGUAGUAGUAGUAGUGGAACUGGAGAAAAUGAAAAGGCAGUGAAUUUAUGGGGCUAGGUUUUUUUUGGGACCGGCGAAAUG